This 2566-nucleotide long non-coding RNA is filed under the name Canis lupus familiaris (dog). Its description in RNAcentral is "lncRNA (ENSCAFG00845007454.1)". The record is from RNAcentral. Lineage: Eukaryota; Metazoa; Chordata; Mammalia; Carnivora; Canidae.
UUUUUUUUUUUUUUUUUUUUUAAAGAUUUUAUUUACUUAUUUACGAGAGACACAGAGAGCAAGAGAGGCAGAGACACAGGCAGAGGGAGAAGCAGGCUCCAUGCAGGGAGCCUGACGUGGGACUCGAUCCCAGGACUCCAGGAUCAUGCUCUGGGCCAAAAGCAGGUGCUAAACCCGCUGAGCCACUCACCGAUCCCAGCACUGGAAGUUUUGAGGUCAGUCUUAGUCAGAGGUCACACCCUGUUAUUUCUUUGGGUUGUGGACAUGGGGUGUUACCACAUGUUAUCUACCAUCCUUUGAAAUGUUGAUUAGAUUAGUCCCUAGCUUUUCAACAUCUGGAUUCUUUAAGCCAUUGAAGUUUUAAUCUGUCUGGGAUAAUCAAUGUAUCGUAGGGUGGGAAAAUUACUGUAGUACUUGCUUGGAGAAGGGACAAAGGGUCUUCACCUGCACUGGAAUUUCUUUUUUUGUUUUUCCCCACCUGCUCUUUGGCCACAUUUCCAUAGCUUUGCCUAACAGGGAUGCUUGUAAUUCUGUAUAUGUGACAUAGUAGUUGAAAGGCAAGCUUUGGAGAUGAGAGCCCCAGGUUCCAGCUGUAUUGCUUUGUGACCUUGGGCAAGUUAUCUAUUCCCUGUGUGUUCUUUGUAAAACUGGGAAUAUGAAUAUUCCCAGGUAGUACCUACCUCUCUCAUAGGGUAGUCAAGAGGAUUAUAUAAAUUAAUGUUUCACGAGGUCUGGCUCAGAGUUAGUGACCAGUAAAUGUUAGUUGUUGCAUUAAUAGUAUUGAUAUUAUGUUAAGUUUUUGUUGUUUCUGUGAGGUUGCUGGUUUUUGGAAUGCUAAAGGUAUUUGUGAUCUUCUGAAUAGGUCAGGAUUUUGAAUACUGCCUUUUUUUAGUGGCAGGUAUUUACUGAACACCUGUUGUGUCAGGCAUUGAUCUAAGUGAGCAAGACAUGAAAAUCCCUGCCUUCUUGAAACUUCUGUUUAAGGAAACAAACUGCACAAAGCAAAAUAGAUGACCCAUCACUCAUCUUAUUGAAAUUUGGUAUUCGACUUUGUAUAUUGAAGCCCGUGUUAAGCAGUCCUAUCAGUCUUCACCAUUAGAUCUUUUUUUUUGUUUCUCUUGCUGUGCUUCAGAAUGUUUGGUGCCAGGAGCACCUUAAAAGCAUGGAACUAGUUUCUUUGUUUCCAUCUAUGGCUCAGUCUUAUUAUAAGGCAGUCUUACACUCCUCUUAUUUCCUUGACUUACUACUUAAAUUGGCUGUUACAAACUUCCCUUUUGAUCCUCAAAUUUCAUUUCAUUUCAUUUUUUUUUCUUUUUUUUAAAGAUUUUAUUUAUUUAUUCAUGAGAGACAUAGGCAGGGAGAAGCAGGCUCCCUGUGAGAAGCCUGAUGGAGUACUAGAUCCCAGGCUCCCAUCCCAGGGCUUCGGGAUCAUGACCUGAGCCAAAGGCAGAUGCCUAACCAUUGAGCCACCCAGGUGCCCACCGUCCCUAAGUUUCUGCUCUGCAUUGUUUACAGAAGGGAUGCUCCUCUCCAGUUCAUUACUUGUUGCUCAACCAUAUCACCUCUUAAGAGAAGGGAUAUUAGAAACCUUUUAAAAGAAAUAGUCCCUGACUAAUCUAACUAUACUUUUCCUUCAUCUCUUCUGUAUUUUCCACCUUCUAUGUAUUGUUACCUGAGACAUUUAACUAGUUUAUUUUCUGCCUUUAAAAACAAUAUAUUUUUCUUGGGCAGCCCCCGUGGCUUAGGUUUAGUGUUGCCUUCAGCCCAGGGCGUGAUCCUGGAGACCUGGGAUAGAAUUCCAUGUAAGCUCCAUGCACCGGGAGCCUGACGUGGGAUUCGAUCCCGGGUCUCCAGGAUCACGCCCUGGGCCAAAGGCAGGCGCCAAACCGCUGCGCCACCCAGGGAUCCCUAAAUACAGAUUAUUGAUAAAGAUAAGUCACAGAAAACACAGAUAUAAAGGAAAAUUAAUAGAUUUAAGUUUUUUUUAAGAUUAUAGGGCACUUACUCCAAAAGUAAUCUAAAUGUGCUUCCAUUUAUUAUUCAGACACUAGGAAAGAUUUUCAGGUGGAUUUUACUGAUUUGUGUUUUUUUUUUUUUUUUUUUUAAAUGGCAAACUAUUCAUGUAAAACUGAAUAUCAAGAGUAUGAAGAGUAGAGGGGCCUAUGGGCUCCCUGGAUGGCUCAGUCCCUUAAGCUCCUGCUCUUGGUUUCAGUUUAGGUUGUAAUCCUAGGGUCCUGAGAUCAAGCCCCAUGUGGGGCUCCGUGCUCAGUGGGAAGUCUACUUGAGAUCAUUUUCUUUUUCUUUUUCUCCCACCUCCUGCUCGGGUGCUCACAUGUGUUCUUUCUCUAAAAUAAAUGGAUAGAUUUCUUAAAAAAAAAAAAAAAAGUGUAGGAGGCUUAUGAGAUAUGAGAUAUGAAUGCCAUAUGUGUAAAAUAGUCAUAGAAUCAAAUAUAUACUAAUGGAAAAAGCAAGUAUCAAAGUUCAUCAUUGGGAGAACCUUGGAUCACAUCUAAAUUUCUUCUUUCUUUUAUUACUUACUAAGUUGAGGGCUCUCUAACUUAGGACU